UCCGUAGGUGAACCUGCGUAAGGAUCAUUUAUGAGUUUGAAACAGGACUUGAUGCUGGCCUUGAUUUUCAAGGCAUGUGCUCAGAUCUUCUCAAUCCUUCUAACACCUGUGCACUUUCAAAGUCGUGGUCCUCCGUCAUGGGAGCUGCAUCUUGUAAUAAUGAGAUGCUGGGACUACACUUUGCCCCUUCAUUACAAACUAUACUAUUGUCUUGUAGAAUGUUAAUAGUCUAAGGACUUAAUCUAAUACAACUUUCAACAACGGAUCUCUUGGCUCUCGCAUCGAUGAAGAACGCAGCGAAAUGCGAUAAGUAAUGUGAAUUGCAGAAUUCAGUGAAUCAUCGAAUCUUUGAACGCACCUUGCACUCCUUGGUAUUCCGAGGAGUAUGCCUGUUUGAGUGUCUUUAAAUCAUCAAUUCAACCUUGCUUUUUGUAAGGGUUGACUUGGAUUUGGGGAUUGCUGAUCUGUAUGGAUUGGCUUCCCUUGAAUGCAUUAGUUGAACUGACUUGCAACGGCUACGGUGGUGGGUGGUGGGAUAAUAUCUUCACUGGCAUAGGUUGCUAAUGGAAGGUUUGGGGCUUCUAACAGGUCCUUCACUGGGGGACAAUACUUGACCAUUAGACCUCAAAUCAGGUAGGACUACCCGCUGAACUUAA
Molecule: ribosomal RNA, 656 nt
Filed under: uncultured fungus
Lineage: Eukaryota; Fungi
Description: eukaryotic LSU rRNA
Rfam family: 5.8S ribosomal RNA (bases 250-403)
Source: RNAcentral